Larimichthys crocea (large yellow croaker) is the source of this 3099-nucleotide long non-coding RNA. RefSeq lists it as uncharacterized. The transcript has 2 exons. NCBI's taxonomy places the organism in Eukaryota, Metazoa, Chordata, Actinopteri, Sciaenidae. The record is from RefSeq and is a predicted model, not a curated record.
GGUUACUCAAAGCCAUAGGAAUCAAACAUUUCGGGGUAUGUUUAAUUCUUGGGUGUGUCUUGUGUUUUGUGUCAAUUUCAUAUGCAAACAGAGAUGUGCCAUCCCCAGGAGGCGAUUGGUGGAGUGAUUCCCAGUCCUAGCCCGUGAUUGGCUGCAGCUGAAAACCACCUCAUGUAUAAAGAGAGAUCGUGGCCGAAUAAAACACUAAACGUUUAUUUCAUGGAGGACCUGAUUUUUUUUGCAUCGCAACGUGUUGGAAAUGUCUUCAAUGUAACCAUGCACACAUAGACUGGGUUUAAAUUGGAUGAGAUGGAUAACGUAGUAUUUAUUACAGACUAAGUGAGGUUGAAAGCUGAUAUGAUAUAAGCAGGUAAUAUUUUUAAAAUAGUCGUCUUGAUUACACCAAUGGUUUAGUUGUAGUUUUGACUUUCUAGUUAUAGAUUGUUCUAACAGAACAGUGGCGCUGCAGUCAUGUGAAGAUGAUCUUGUUGAAUAUGACGCGUUGCGAUUGAAAAACUACCCGUUUGGCUGGGCUCUGUCAGGCUUUAUUUUGCAAGAAUUUUCUGCUGGCUGUACGUUAUCCCUCACAUAGACCACCAGAUAAUUUCUUAUACUCAAUGAAUGCAACAAAAGUAUAGUUAUAUAAAGCAUGAUCACAAUGUCUGCUAGUUUUCACUUUAGCUUUGAAUGCUCCUGUCCAAAACACCUAGGACAAAUCUGGACUUUGGUUUAGUUUAAAAGUUGAGCAAUGGCUAAAGUUACACAUACUGCUAACAACAAACAAACAAUUUAAUUCGAAUACAUACAUGUUGCCAUGGAUAUUAAUCUCCAUGGCAACUUGUAUGCAAAUGAGCAGAGGCCCUUUCAUGUCCAUUAAGAAUGUUUUUAGCCUUGAUGUGUCGUGUUCCGGAAUAUCAGGCAAGCAUAUAUCACAGGCUGAUCAGUGUCUGCUCUCAGUUUGGACAGAGGGCUGAGAGGAGUAGGUGCUUUCAUGGUUAUGUAUUGACUCACGGAUUUUAAACUUUUUUUCAACAUACCUAAGGUGAGGAUCAACAAAAACAUGAAUCAUCGGGGGACCUAAGGUGGAUCGAGUGAUGCCUGGGUGCUCUAAUAAGCCAUCGGUAAUGGUAUGUACCUGUCAGUCAACCAGUCACACUGUUAAUAAUGCGCUUCAAGCAUUAAUAUCAUCUGAAGGGAUGUUUUAAGUGAGGACCUGUGUUCCUUCACUUGUUUGGUCGUUUGUCUCAGUUUCUGUGUUCUGUGUCUCAAUCAUGCGUUUUGUUUGGUUUUAUUUUAUUUUCAAGUGUUUUGCUUCCGUACGCUGACACUUGAUGUUUUCUCGUCGUCGUCGAACAUUUGUAGACAUUUUUUGCGAACUCGUGGAUCAUUGAAAGAAUAAGGUUGAUAUUUUCCUUGUUCUCAACCAAAGAAGCAUUUCAUUUUAAUCAGCCUCCAAAGAUUCAACCAUUUCAAACUGUGUUUCAACAUACCUAAGGUAAAUAAUGGUUUUCACUUUUGUACCAAGGCCUGCAAGUUUGGGUAGAUUUUUCAAAUGUUCUGCUAGUGUACACUGACACUUGAUCAUUUCUACCUACUGCAGCAUAUUUGACCAAAAUGUUUUGUGAACUUGUGGCUUAUUUGAGGAAUAUUGUGGGUUUUAUUUUGCAUUCUUACAUGUUGUCAUGUAAUCACAUCGCUAAGAACAUAAGAUUUUAAUCCAAAUAGGUAGAUUCAAAGGUUUUCUGACAUAGCUAGGGCAAAUUAAUGAUUUUCACUUUUGUACCAAAGUCUUCAAGUUUGGGUAGAUUUCUCAGGUGUUCUUGAUAAUUUUUUUGCUAACUUCUACUCAUUGCAUAAUAUUUGUACUAUGUUUUUUGCUAACUUGUAUUUUUUUCUGUCUCUUCCAGCCUCAUUAAUUUUGUCUUUCUUUCUUUUUCAGAUGUUUUAAGUGAGGACCUGUGUUCCUUCACUUGUUUGGUCGUUUGUCUCAGUUUCUGUGUUCUGUGUCUCAAUCAUGCGUUUUGUUUGGUUUUAUUUUAUUUUCAAGUGUUUUGCUUCCGUACGCUGACACUUGAUGUUUUCUCAUCGUCGUCGAACAUUUGUAGACAUUUUUUGCGAACUCGUGGAUCAUUGAAAGAAUAAGGUUGAUAUUUUCCUUGUUCUCAACCAAAGAAGCAUUUCAUUUUAAUCAGCCUCCAAAGAUUCAACCAUUUCAAACUGUGUUUCAACAUACCUAAGGUAAAUAAUGGUUUUCACUUUUGUACCAAGGCCUGCAAGUUUGGGUAGAUUUUUCAAAUGUUCUGCUAGUGUACACUGACACUUGAUCAUUUCUACCUACUGCAGCAUAUUUGACCAAAAUGUUUUGUGAACUUGUGGCUUAUUUGAGGAAUAUUGUGGGUUUUAUUUUGCAUUCUUACAUGUUGUCAUGUAAUCACAUCGCUAAGAACAUAAGAUUUUAAUCCAACUAGGUAGAUUCAAAGGUUUUAUGACAUAGCUAGGGCAAGUUAAUGAUUUUCACUUUUGUACCAAAGUCUUCAAGUUUGGGUAGAUUUCUCAGGUGUUCUUGAUAAUUUUUUUGCUAACUUCUACUCAUUGCAUAAGAUUUGUACUAUGUUUUUUGCUAACUUGUAUUUUGUUUUGUCUCUUCCAGCCUCAUUAAUUUUGUCUUUCUUUCUUUUUCAGAUGUUUUAAGUGAGGACCUGUGUUCCUUCACUUGUUUGGUCGUUUGUCUCAGUUUCUGUGUUCUGUGUCUCAAUCAUGCGUUUUGUUUGGUUUUAUUUUAUUUUCAAGUGUUUUGCUUCCGUACGCUGACACUUGAUGUUUUCUCAUCGUCGUCGAACAUUUGUAGACAUUUUUUGCGAACUCGUGGAUCAUUGAAAGAAUAAGGUUGAUAUUUUCCUUGUUCUCAACCAAAGAAGCAUUUCAUUUUAAUCAGCCUCCAAAGAUUCAACCAUUUCAAACUGUGUUUCAACAUACCUAAGGUAAAUAAUGGUUUUCACUUUUGUACCAAGGCCUGCGAGUUUGGGUAGAUUUUUCAAGUGUUCUGCUAGUGUACACUGACACUUGAUCAUUUCUACCCAUCGCAGCAUAUUUGACUAA